UACGUAGGCAGCGAGCGUUGUUCGGAGUUACUGGGCGUAAAGGGUGUGUAGGCGGUUCUUUAAGUUUGGUGUGAAAUCUCCCGGCUCAACCGGGAGGGUGCGCCGAAUACUGAGGGACUAGAGUACGGGAGAGGAAAGUGGAAUUCCUGGUGUAGCGGUGAAAUGCGUAGAUAUCGGGAGGAACACCGGUGGCGAAGGCGGCUCUCUGGACCACUACUGACGCUGAGGCGCGAAAGCUAGGGGAGCAAACAGG
RNAcentral lists this ribosomal RNA (253 nucleotides) under uncultured prokaryote. Its description in RNAcentral is "partial 16S ribosomal RNA". It matches the Rfam family "Bacterial small subunit ribosomal RNA", at positions 524 to 776 of the family's 1533-position model. The record is from RNAcentral.